This is a long non-coding RNA of Xenia sp. Carnegie-2017, 1086 nucleotides long. RefSeq lists it as uncharacterized. The transcript has 6 exons. Lineage: Eukaryota; Metazoa; Cnidaria; Anthozoa; Malacalcyonacea; Xeniidae. The record is from RefSeq and is a predicted model, not a curated record.
AAAAUGUAUGGCGGAUAACGUUUACAAACAAGGAUUUUCGAAUAUUUAAGACAUUUGGCGACGUUUUACUUAUCUCAAAUAUCUGUCAUGGAUAAAUAAAGUUAUUUAAAUCAAUUUGACAUCAAAAUUAUUUCGAUACCUGUAAAAUAUCGGCGUUUGUGUUCAUUUGAAGAUGGCUCGUUCAAGAAUCGAAUUUGCCUAAUAGUUGUCAAGACAGGAUAAUUCACAGCUCGCUUUCCAAGUUUAAAGGCAGUUAUGAUCUAGAAUAUGUUUCAAUGCGUAAAAAUUGUGAUAGUAUUAUCACUACACCUUGCUAGAGCAUUUGGAUAAGGUAUUCAUCAGUACGUAUGGUUGUUAUUGUCAUAACAUGCAGGGGCGGAUCUAGGUGACUUCAAGCCAAAAGACUUGGAGUUUUUGGAUGAGUUUAUAGAAGAUUUCAAUGGUAUUCUAGAGAGGGGAGUCCAAGGUUCUGACUGUUACAGUAAGGGGCAUUGUUUGUGAUCCUCUCCUGCAAGAGCACUUGUUAAAGGUACAAAACUUUGUACUGGUUAUUUUGGUUGGGACAAGUGUACACAAAAAGGGAAGUGGCUUGGUCGAGUGACUUACUCUUAAAAUAAUAAUAUGGAAUUGCGCACUAAUAUUUCCUUUAGAAAGCAGAUACAAAAGGAACAUCAUCGCUUUGUAAGCCCUUACUGUCACUUGCCUGUUGAUAUGGUAAAACAAUUUCCAAUUGACUACAUGCAUCAACUGUGUCUGGGUGUUAUGCGUAAAUUGAUUAUGGCUUGGAUGAAAAGAAAUCGCGCUGCUAAAAUGUCUGUUGCCCAUUUAGAGGCGAUUUACCGGUGUACAGCGAGCUGAUCUCCCUUGCAGAAAAAGAUUUAUAUUACGGUGAACUAGCACCAGAAAUCCAAAACACAAAGGAUCAUGCAAUAACUUCCCCAUCUACUAGUAGGACACCAUCUCAACGUAGUGUACCUUAAUUUAAAUGACGUUCUUGCGUUCAAUAAAGAUAUAUGUUAAACCCAGUACGUGUCUUCUCUGUAGAUACAAGCAACGUCUCUUCACAAGGAAUUCCUACAACUGACA